CUACAGCCCAUUAUAAAAUGUGACUUAAUAAUAUUAUCCUAGGUUAUCUAUGAUUUGGGAACUUAGCUGAUUUAAUCUUGGAAUUUUUCUGUAGAUCUAGAUUUUGUUCCAUAUUUGAAAAUAUGGUUUCAGUUCACUAUGAAUUGUCUACUCUCUCCACAUAAGUCUGCAUCAGGACAUGCUACUGAAGCCACCAAGACUCAAGACCAUUGGCUCACAUUGAUCAAGUCUUCCUGGCGUCAUAUUCUGGGCCAGAUUUCAUUAUAAUCUUAGGUUUAUGCUGGAAGCACACUGUACCAUCUUAACAAGUAGUACUUGGGAAAAAGGUCACUGGCCAGAAGAACAAGAACAAGAAGAAGGUAGCUCUUGAAAUCAAAAGUUAACAACAGACUUUUAAAAAGACUCACAGAAAUUAAUUUUAUGGUUCCAGCGUGAAUGUUUUCAUAGAACACUUCAAGGCUUGUAAUCACUGCUGCCAAACAUUUGGAAUCAACUACAAGUACAUAAAACUGAAAAAUGAUCUUAAACUAUCAAUGCAUCAUGUCAGAUUUUAAUUUGUAGGUGAAAACUGUACAAUGGAUAAAACACUUACUGCUAUUUCUGUAGUUGAAUCCAGAGAGAUACUUUUUUUGGUACCAGGGAUCUUAGGACCUCGCGCUUGCCAGGCGGGCACUAUGCCGUUGAGCUAAAUCCCCGGCCCAGAGAGAUACUUCUUAUAGAAGAACAAAACCUUAUGGUAAAUAACACCCAAAUGUGGUGAACUCUUAAGCAUUUUUCCCUUCAAGUGUGAAGGAAAGUGUGAUAUAUGCCAUGGAGAGGCAUCUGGAACACAAUUUAAAAUAAAGCCUUAAGAUUGCUCUUCUACUCCUUCACACACAGUUAUUUAUUUACUCACUUAUAUUUACAGUGCUGGGGAUUGAACCCAGGGCUGCUUCUCUCUCUUUUUCAUUUUUUGGGGGGAUGGGGAGGGAUGGAGAAGAAACAGAACAGGCCAGCUAUCAGAUAGAAACCUACUGUUUCUUUAAUAUUUCUUAAUUUGUUGCUGAUCUUUGGUUGUGUGAACCACAAUAGAGAUGCCUCUUCUGUAGCUGGUGUUCAAGUUCCCUAAAAUUUUAAAUUGUUUGGUCUGUUAAGUAUCCUUAUAUCUCAUUGGAAAGAUGCUUGUACUUAGCUGUCACAAUGUUGCAGCUACAAGAUUAAUCAGCCUCUCCUUCGUUCUCCAUCAUUUAAUCAUGCUCUUUCUUGUCUCUUCAUUUAAGAUGAUUUUGUUCAAAAACUGAAAAAUGUUUUAUCUAGAUAAGGAAGAACAUUCAUAUCACUCAGUACACUUCUGGCUUCAUUCUCUUACAACUUAUCUUUCCUGAGGCUUGAUUGUCCUUUAUCCAUUGAGUAAGCAGGUCUCUGUCAAAGGUAAAGGGUUAUGAUUACAUGGUGAAUUAAGCUAUUUUCUGUAAUCAAGGUUUUUUUCAAUUACUAGUUUUGUACACUAGAAUUUUUAAAAACAUUUUAUACAAGUAAGGCACUUAAACUGGCACCCUUGAACGACAUGAUUUUACCAGUACUACCACAAUACUGUAAUAUAGGUAGCUCCUCAGCAGCUUCUGAGUUAAACUUACUUGAUUUACUCUUGACCUUUUUUCCUAGAGUCUGCACAGGUACACUCUGCCUUGAACAAUUUAGAAGAGACAAAAACUGCUUAUCUUAGAAGCACAUGAUUUUUUGUUCUUAUAAACAGAUCCUUGGUUCAGCAUAGAUUCUGGAAGUAUGUGCAAUCUAUUUGCCUGUUGGGUGCCUUUGAAUAAGUUCUUUAAUUUCUUAAACCUUCACCUUUUUCACCUCUGAAACUAUAUAUAUCUCAAGAUUGGAAGUAUCUAGCACUAUGCUUGAAAUUACUGUAAUAAACCCACAACAAAUAUUCCUCUAUCAAACAUUAAGGUUUUUGUAGGAAUAUAAAGGUUGAUAACUGUUCCUGCGUUUACAAUUAACAGUGGAAAUAAAGUGAAUGAAAAAUAGUGUGGCAAAUGCUGUUAGAUGUAAGACCAUGUUGCUGAAGCAUCAUGGGGGAGCCAUCUAACCCAAAUUUGGGAUAUCAUGUAAGGCUGACAUCCUGAACUGAGUCCUGCAGAUACGGAGAUUAAUAAGCAAAGAGGAUGAACAAAGUAUUCCAUGCACAAAGAUCACAUCUCCCACAAUUCUUGAAAUACUCCGUUAUUUUUUUCAAGUAUUAUGUAGCCAC
Heterocephalus glaber (naked mole-rat) is the source of this 2236-nucleotide long non-coding RNA. Lineage: Eukaryota; Metazoa; Chordata; Mammalia; Rodentia; Bathyergidae. The record is from Ensembl.